Molecule: non-coding RNA, 297 nt
Organism: Pelobates cultripes (western spadefoot toad)
Lineage: Eukaryota; Metazoa; Chordata; Amphibia; Anura; Pelobatidae
Source: the annotation of a GenBank genome assembly
CUUGGAGAGUUUUCUAAGAGUAUUGAACCGUUUGGAAAAAUUUAAUAGAUUUUCAAUCGAGAUUUAAUGCAUAUGAGGAUUUCAGGCUGAGUGCGGAACCAGGGACCCAGCCAUAAUCUAUCCUAUUGGAAGUUUGUGGAUUAUAGCCAUAGAUACAUAGAGGGGUCUGUAUGCCCCCACAGUCCCUGGUUUGGUGAAUUGGUUCCUCUGUCUUGAAUUUGUUCCCUGAUGUCCUCCUUCUGGAGAAGGAAUUGUCCCAUGUAAGCGUAGAGUUCUCUCAGAGCUUUCAGCCGUGCU